GAGGUUGCCUGAAGUCCCGCACUCCUUAAAUUGCUCCUUAAAUUGUGUGGGGUCAGACCUGUGUCCGCCCUGCUGUGGGCCUCCCUGCUGUGGGUUGGAGGGUGGCCGAUUCCUGAGCUGUGUUUGAGGAGAGGGCGGAGUGCCAUCUGGGUAGCCGUCCUUCAGCGUUCUGCAGGAAGGCAGGAACCCAGCUGUCAGAGGCUUCCGGGGAGGGGGUGUGGCAUGGCAGCCUAGAGGCGUGUGUGUGUGUGUGUGUGUGUGUGUGUGUGUGUACAGAUGCCCAGGUUCGGGAUUGGCGUUAGACUUUGAGCCUGGCCAGAAGAGGGGCAGCGGCUGCCGCAUCAGAGCCGCGCCCGCCCCCAGCCCCCUGCCCUGUCUUCCAGUCCUGAUUUCCUGGGCGCCCCGGGGCUGGCGCUGCCCGCCGAGCCGCUGCCUCCGCUCCUGGCGCCGGACGUGUGGGCCCGACUGGAGAGCGACUACACCAGCUUCCUGGAGGCCAAGAUCGCAAGCUGCUUCGACAGCAUCUUGCAGCUGGAGCAGAGUCACUGGGCGGCCGC
Molecule: small RNA, 557 nt
Filed under: Pan troglodytes (chimpanzee)
Lineage: Eukaryota; Metazoa; Chordata; Mammalia; Primates; Hominidae
Description: retained intron
Source: RNAcentral